GGAAGUUACGUAGGUGAGUAUAAUGUACAAACAGAAGGAUCACUCCAAUGCUCCUUCUCUCAGGCCUUCUCUCAGGAGGUACUUGCUGGGGGUGACUGGACAGGAAUGAGUCUAUAAAGAAGAACCCAUGCCCACAAGCCCAGCACCCACGUCCUCAGGAAACCCUUACCAGAGUCUAGGGACCAGAUUUGUGCUGUCCACAUACUCUCCCCACAUACAGGCCUCUCCACCAAUCACUAGAGCCUUCUGCUGAGCGCCACCUGAGAAAACAAGCAACAACAGGCUGCUGGGUACAAGGGGAGUAACCCUAGGGUUUCUACCACCUUCCCAAUGUAGCCCUCUCUUCAAACAGCUCAUCUCAUCUAACCUGAAAGGUCUAGCCCAGACCCUCCUGUCUCCCGCUCUGUGCACCAGCUUCAUCUGGUCAGCAAGGAGAGCUCCCUGCUUUCACCUUCAAAUUCCAGGGGCUCCACCACGUAGAGAUCUCUCCAGUCAGGGCCAUAAGUUAUGUGAUUCAGGUACCAGGGGGCAGAGAGCAGGGCACGCAAGCCGGCUCUGGUAAUUAGCUCCAGCUCCUUCAAAUAAUUUACUGGUACCUCUUCUCGCCAUACCUGGAUGAUUGUAUCUGGAGGAACCUGUCACAAAAGGUCAAAUGGCAGUGAUGGCACAUAGCUGAGGAGAUUUCUGGCCCACAUUCUUAUGCAAGCAAACCAGGCCAAGGGGUAUGUGGCCGCUCUGUUCCCAAGCAGCAAAGUAUUUCUCCGUGAUUCCUAACUAUUGAGUUCCUAGCCCGGUGCAGAAGCCAGGGAUUCUACUGGUCCUAGGAGUCCUCCCAGCUGCUUCCUCUUUCAGUCCUCCUAUAGCCUCCUUGUCCACAAUGAGAUAGUAAUACUGGCUGUAAGCUAAGGGAGGCAAGCAGUGGGGCCCAGGAGACUCGUCAAGAGCUACCAUGUCAAAGAAUCCCCAGAUGUUUCUGAGGAUGAGAUAAAGUUCCCAUAGAACCCCUCCAUUUGGCAAGAGGCUGGGCUCUAACUGAUCAAAAAUGAAGAAGGUAACCCUGCUCCCAGACCUGGAAGACCUUAGUCUAUGACUCAGAAAGGAAAAUCCAACCCAGCAUGCCAGUCUCAGGAAUCCUAAGUAACCCAGCAGCAGAAAUAACUCUUGAUCAGUUUGUGCUGAGGGAAGAUAGACAGAAGCUCUGACACUCACACCCAGGUCUCAGACUUCUGUGACCUUUCUGGAGGAGAGAAUGGAGAGAUGGCCCCCGGUGCUCUGAACAGUAAAGCCUAAUCUAAACUCCAGGUGGACCAGUCUGUGCAGAGGCAGGAAAGGCUUGAGAGACCGAAGGGAAGCACUACAGGUGGCUCCUUCUCUCUAUGCCCCUGGCUCACCUUUACUUUAUUAUCAAACACUUCCUGCCACACCACAUAACCUUUGCCAUAGGCAGAGACGAUGUUCAGCAGUCUGGAGAGUAAAGAAAGGGUCUGGUCAGCUCAAAUACGUUCUAGGCUGUUGGUGCCAGUAGGGGUUCAGGCUGGCUAGGGGCCCAUUCCUAAUUGGGCAGUGUCUUCCCCAGUUGGGAGCUGACUACUCCAAAGCUGAAAGGAUAGAACAAAGUACCCUUUCAGGGGCCCAGAGGGUGGUCAAGCAGGGCCUGGUCCUGGUAUGAAAAGAGAGGACCCCAUAAGGAGGUAAUCCCAAGGGACCUUGCCCACCCUCUUUCCUUCCUCACGUCUGGAUGUAGAAGGACUCCAGCUGCUUGAAGUCAUUACCAAAGCCUUUCGUCUUCAUAAAGGCCUGGAUAUCUGGGUUGGACCUCCUGAAUCCCAAGAGAAAAUGGAGAUUAAUUCUUUCAACAGCCUCAAAAACUUGGCGAUUAGUCACCUGGCCUCCCACAACUUCUUUUUUUCACUUGAAAAACUAAUCAACUUUGGAUCUCAGAGCCCCCAAAUACGGCAGGUGUGGCUGAACAAAGCUGUGUGAUGGGGGCCAUUGACACAGGCUGAGAAAGGAUGAGUUUGGACCUGAAGAGCUUUAAAUUCAAACUCUCAACAAGAACGCACAUUAACUUGUCUCGACUACAGCAUGUGGGUUUGAGGUCUCGGUUUGGGGCUCUGGCACACUGGAUUCUGGCUUCUCUGUUUAACCCCCUACCCACGCAUAUUUUGCUUUUCCCUUAAGAUUGAUUCUUUAUUCCAGAUUGGUACAAGUGUUGCUGUUACCUGCUGCACUUCCCUCCCCCAACAACGUUUAUAUUUUGCUCACAUUUCCUCCUGGAAUGUUUUCUCCCUCCUCUACCGCUCAAAAAAGCCAACUAUUUCCCCAGAUCCAGUUCUAGUGCCCACUUCUCAGAGAAGCCCAUCAACCUCUCUUGAGCUAAGUAAAUCUGAGGGUUUGAACCUUACAGUUUAAUACCUAGUAAACAAUUACAAAAAAAAAAAAAAUGCAUAUAGUAUUCUCAAAUUCACCUAUGUCUUCACUCUUCAACCAGACUAUUUUAAGUCUUCAAAAGUGGGAAUUAUUUUUCCCUAUCCUGGAUUUUCCCAGGACAAUUCUGUGCCCAUAUCUGGUUCUUCCAUAUGUAUCUCAAGGACAUGACAGGAGGAAGGGAUAGUUUCAUAUUCACAACCUUGCCAAAAUCAGGUAGGGCCUCAAUACAGGUAAGAGGAAAGACCUAAGACUUGAGCCAUCUGGACUGAGACUGUUCUCAGAAGUUAGCCCCUGAGGAGUACCUGAGAUAGGUAGCCUCUCAGGAGCUAACCUCUAUUCUGAGUGAGCAAUUCCACACAGGCAGCAAUGGGAAAACCAAAGGGGAUCAUACCAGCAGGUGAAAUCAACCUCAUCUCCUCCAAGGUGAAGAUAAAAAUCUGGGAAGACAGAGCUGACCUCCAAGAAAAAUGUGCUCAUGAAUUCAUAGGUAGUAUUGAGAAUGGGAUUCACUGGUCCGAAGGUGCCAGAGGGACGAGACCCAGAGUAGCAAGGAGUCAAUAAUCUAGGGAAACCUAAGCCGACAAAGAACCCCACAUAAGUGUCACAAAUACAUAGAAACCCCCCCCCCCACAGUCAUAUACUUAAGGACAUUAAGUUGCACAAAGUAAGAUAUUGUGCUCAUAAAAACUGCAAUGCACAUAAGUAGGAACAUCAAGCACUCACAUACACUGGUGAACAUGAACUUUUAGUCACAGUCAAAGAAAUAAAAAUAUAUUCACUAUCAUGAGUCUGGGUUACAGCCAGACUGCGAUCAACAUACACACUGUUGCCUUGACAUAUUGCUUCCAGCAGGGGUCACCCUUGCUCCCAAAGGCUGCUCUCCUACUGCCUUUAGGCAGGAAAGCAGAGAGCCUGAUGCUGCCAAACUGACAAAAUCUUUCUUCCGCUCUAGGGCACAAAUUGCAAGAGCAUCAUUAAGACAAAGGCAUCUGAGAAGAAUCUGCCCAGAGGUUAAUACUAAGAAGUGGCCUCCUUUGUCCAAAAUAAAUUCUGCCUAUCUAAAUUCCCAGGUGGAAGUUAUUGAUGGAAACCAUUCUUCCAGGGACCAAGGCCAGGCACACCACAUCCAAGAGUCAAUGCCCUGAAGCCCACUGAGGGGGACCAGUAGGCUCCCUCUAUCCGACAUUAUUCUUACCUGGUCCCCAGGACAGAGUGUGGCCAGGAGUGUCAAACUCUGCCAACACACGGAUACCCCGAAGCCGUGCAUAUUCAAUCACUUCUUUCACAUCUUGUGCUGUGUAGACAUGGGUGACAGGAUUGUAGGACCCCUGAAAGGCAAGAGACACCCAAAACAAUCUCACUUCCUGAAGGCUAGCAGAGUAGAAGACACUCAAAAUGCCUUCAGGAUUCCCUGGAUAUCAGAAAAUCUACCUACAGGGUUUUUUUGUUGUUGUUUUAAUGUUUAUUUAUUUCGGAAACAGAGAGAGACAGAGCAUGAGCGGGGGAGGGGCAGAGAGAGAGGGAGACAUAGAAUCCGAACCAAGCUCCAGGCUCUGAGCUGUCAGCACAGAGCUCAACGCGGAGCUUGAACUCACAGACCACGAGAUCACAACCUGAGCUGAAGUCGGACGCUCAACUGACUGAGCCACCCGGGCGCCCCAACCUACACAGCUCUUUGGUAUCAGGGACUAUCUCCAAGGACCUUUAUCAGAAUUUCCCACAAAGCUAUCACAUCUAUUGCUUUAUCUGAGUGUCAAAAUGCCAGUGAGACAACAAGGUAGGUAACAGAAUAUAAACAAACAAACAACACCAGGAGAGAUUAUCUCCUAGUUGUCACAGUGAAAAUUAAUGCAAAGUUUGACUCAAACUUAGGUCUCCUGAUUCCAAAUCCAGUGCCCUUCCUCUAAGUCAGUAUGUCUCUAAAACUGGCUGGUUAGGAUGAGAGCCAGUGUCCUUGCCAGCAGGGCCAUAGCCAGGCUCAGACAUCAGCUCAUAAACUUGGUCUUGGAGAAAUUGAGACAUACCUUUCUGGUGAGCUCUGGAAAAGUGAAGCUCUCAUAUGGGAAGGAAGAGUCAUCGACCAGAUGCCAGUGGAACACGUUGAAUUUAUUGUAUGCCAUGGCGUCCUGUAGACCAGAGCACAUGCUAUGAGCCCACCACAGCUUCUCCACUUUCCCAAGGUAGACAUACAGGCAGGCUGCUCCACAUACCUCAAUAGGCCCAGCCUGCCCCAGCUUCUUGAUAAGUGUUCAUAGGGUCUAUCUACCAAAUCUUCCGACCAGGGAGUGCCUGCCAUAGAGGGAUGACCUAGCAUAUUCCUUCUUCUGCCAAGGCACAUCCGAAGAUGGCUGACAGAGGCAGCGCCUCCUCUUUUUGAGAUGAAUUUUCAGCCACCGGAAGGAUGGCUGAAACUAUGUGGUACACUGGUCUUCCAAAAGCACCACAGUACCUUGAAGACUAAUACUUCUUCCUGCCAUUUGUUUUAGGUUGUCUGACUAACGUUUAUCCAAACUGUGAAGUCUAUUGUUGAAUUUAGUAAUCUCAUAGCCUAUAAACCUCAGAGCCAAGACUGACAGAUGUGUCUACUGCUUUGAUUCCAUCAGAGGAGCAAAGGAAAAGGUAGAUACAUGAGUUGGAUCAGCAACUGUAAGAUAAGACUGCUCAUGAAACUCAAAAUAG
RNAcentral lists this long non-coding RNA (5109 nucleotides) under Lynx pardinus (Iberian lynx). The record is from RNAcentral. Lineage: Eukaryota; Metazoa; Chordata; Mammalia; Carnivora; Felidae.